This 3943-nucleotide long non-coding RNA is filed under the name Homo sapiens (human). Its description in RNAcentral is "non-protein coding TET2-AS1:5". The record is from RNAcentral. Lineage: Eukaryota; Metazoa; Chordata; Mammalia; Primates; Hominidae.
AUUUGAAAAGGCAGAGAAAGAAGGGUACAUCGGGCUGCUUCAGGAAGACUGGAAUAGAGACCUUCACAGAAGAGAGAGGCCCCAUAUCAGAAGGAAGUGUGACCCAGAAGGAUGGAGCUCUUCAGAGACAGGCUUCUUUGAGAAUCAAGAAAGAUUCAGAACAGCAAUGAAUGAAGGUUCCUGUUGCUCCACAUUCUCACCAGCACUUGGUUUCAUCAGUGUUCUGACUUCAGCCAUUCUAACAGGUUUGAACUGCAUGGACUGCUUAUAUGUGAAUUUUCUUCCACUUCUGCCACCCCUGGAACAGCAAGACCAACCCAUCCUUUUCCUCCUCUUCUUCAGCAUACUCAAGGUGAAGACAACAAAGGAUGAAGAUCUUUAUGAUGAUCUACUUCCAUUUAAUAAAUAGUACUAUAUUGUACAUUCCACUGUAAAUGAGCAAACAUUACACUGGCAGCAGGGACCAGCAUCCUUUAUCAAGAGGCAGUUGUAGCUCAAGAGUUGCAUCUUGGUAGCAUCAAUACAGAAUUUAAGGAUUACAGAAGAUAUCUCAGUAAGUUACACUACUGGUUUGAAGAAAACUGUUUUGACCUCUAAUUUUUUCUCUUAUUCUAAUCUUCCUGUCAUUUUUUAAAGAACAAAAGAUGGCCUGUGUUAUCUUAUUUGGUUAUAUGAUUACAUAUUAUUAUGAUCAAUAACAUAUAUUAAAACUUAUUAAUCAAUGCUUCUUUAAUUUCAGAAAGUUCUCUAUACUUGGAAGAAAAAUAAAGAACGAUUUGCACUUCAUUUCCUUAGCAUGGAGUAGAGCAUUAAUCAUUAUCAUUUUUUCAUGCCACUAAAUCUUUGCAAUGAUAAUUCUUUAAUAGUAUUGGUCUACAUCCACUAGAUAAACAUUAUAGGCUUAUAAUGUGCCAGGCACUGUGCUAGACACUGGAGAUAACACUUUGAAUAAAACAGAAAUGGAACUCCCAUCAUGGAGCUCAGAAAUAACACUGAAAUGCUCCUGGAUUUUGAGCCAGCAAUAACAGCAGGAAGAAAACUGCACUCAAAACACUAUGAAUUUAUUUCCGCCAUUUAAAAAAAAAGAAUGAAGAAGGUAUUUCAAAUCCAGAAAAGAUAUUUUCUCAUCAUGAUAGCAGAUGUUAAAGAUAUUGGAAACAGUGCAAUUUCUCCUAGUGUAGAAGGAGGAGGAAGUUGGUAGACACACAGCUGAAAUAAAGGAAGCAGAAGGAAGAACACAGGCAGUGCUCAUCUUGCAGGAGGCUUGAGCACCCUAAGUCUAUUUAUAAAUCAGUUGUUCAAAACUAACAAGUAGUGUCGCACAUCAUGUUUAUAUUUUGAGGUAGCCGCAACAGCCUUUUAAAUGCACAAUGUAAUUGAAACACUAGCAUCGGAAAAGAGUACAGUUGCCAAUAUAAAUGGUAUUUUAGUGACCAAUGUUUCCUCGGCUCCAGAAGCUCCUGGAAGAUUGUCUCAGCUAUUCCUCAUGGAUCCAAAAGCCUAAUUUCACCUAUAAAUAAUCAAUGGAUAUUUUAUCUAUCUUCAAUUUCCAAUGAGGAUAAAUCAGCAGAGAAAAGACAACACUGGCAGCCUUAAAGAGAAAAGCAGUAAAAAUAAGAUUAUUUCAUUGCCAUUUUUUUAAAGAGAUGGGUUCUCACUGUGUUGACCAGGCUACAAUGCAGCAGCUAUUCACAGGCACAAUCAUAGUGCACUACAACCCCAAACUUUUGAGACUCAGGCAAUCUUCCUGCCUCAGCCUUCAGAGUAGCUGGGACUAUAGUCAUUGCCAUUUUAGAAACCAUUUUCAUUCACUGCAACUUUCACCAAAUAUUUAUUGAGUGCUCACCAUGUGCUAGCCACUGUUUGGUAUGCUGACAAUACAUGUCAGUGACCCAAACAAUGUUCCUCAUCUCAUAGAACUCACAUCUACUGGAGAAAGCAGACAAUAAAAAUUGUUUAAGAAAAGCAGAAACACUUUGCCAAGGGUUGAUAAACUAUGCAAUUCCCAUCAAAAUACCACCAUCAUUCUUCACAGAAUUAGGAAAAACAAUUUUAAAAUUCAUAUGAAAACAAAAAAGAACCCACAGAGCCAAAGCAAAACUAAGCACAAAGAACAAAUUGGGCAGAAUCACAUUACCUGACUUUAUACUAGAAGGCCAUAGACACCAAAACAGCAUGGUACUGGUAUAAAAAUAGGUACAGAGACCAAUGGGGGGAUAGAGAACCAAGAAAGAAACCCACAUACUUACAGCCAACUGACCUUUGACAAAGCAAACAAAAACAUAAAUUAGUAGGUAAAGGACACCCUAUUCAACAAAUGGUGCUGGGAUAGCUGGUAAGCCACAUAUAGAAGAAUGAAACUAGAUCCUCAUCUCUCACCUUAUAUAAAAAUCAACUCAAGAUGGAUCAAAAACUUAAAUCUACGUGCUGAAACUAUAAAAAUUCUAGAAGAUAACAUCAGAAAAACCCUUCUAGACAUUGGCUUAGGUAAAGACUUCAUGACCAAGAACCCAAAAGCAAAUGCAACAAAAACAAAGAUAAAUAGGUGAGACUUAAUUAAACAAAAGAGCCUCUGCACAGCAAUAGGAACAGUCAGCAGCGUAAACAGACAACCCACAGAGUGGGAGAAAAUCUUCACAAUCUAUGCAUCCGGCAAAGGACUAAUAUCUAGAAUCUACAAGGAACUCCAACAAAUUAGCAAGGAAAAAAACAAACAAUCCUAUCAAAAAGUGGGCUAAGGACAUGAAUAGACAAUUUUAAAAAGAAGAUAUACAAAUGACCAACAAACAUAUGAGAAAAUGUUCAAUAUCACUAAUGAUCAGGGAAAUGCAAAUCAAAACCACAAUGCAAUACUUUACUCCUGCAAGAACGGCAAUAAAAAAUCAAAAAAUAGUAGACGUUGGCAUGGAUAUGGUGAACAGAGAACACUUCUACACUGCUGGUGGGAAUGUAAACUAGUACAGCCACUAUGGAAAACAGUGUGGAGAUUCCUUAAAUAACUAAAAGUACAACUACCAUUUGAUCCAGCAAUCCCACUACUGGGUAUCUACCCAGAGGAAAAAAGUCAUUAUAUGAAAAAGAUACUUGCACACACAUUUAUAGCAGCACAAUUUGCAAUUGCAAAAAUGUGGAACCAACCCAAAUGCUCGUCAAUCGGUGAGUAGUUAAAGAAACUGUGGUAUAUUUAUAAGAUGGAAUACUACUCAGCCAUAAAAAGGAAUGAAUUAAUGGCAUUUGCAGUGACCUGGAUAAGACUGGAGACUAUUAUUCUAAGUGAAGUAACUCAGGGAUGGAAAACCAAACAUCAUAUGUUCUCACUCAUAAGUGGGAGCUACGCUAUGAGGAUGCAAAGGCAUAAGAAUGACACAAUGGACUCUAGGGACUCAGGGGAAAAGGGUGGGAAGGGGGUGAGGAAUAAAAGACUACGAAUAGGGUGAAGUGUAUACUGCUCGGGUGAUAGGUGCACCAAGAUCUCACAAAUCACCACUAAAGAACUUACCCAUGUAACCAAAUACCACCUGUUCCCCAAUAACCUAUGGGAAUAAAAAAAUAAAAUUUUAAAAAAAAAGAGAGAAAAUAAAGCAAGGUCAAUAGUCAGAGUUCUGUUAGAUAGAAUGGUUAGGGAAUUUAUCUCUGAAAAAGUAACACUCAAGGAGAGAUUAGAAGGAAAGAUAGAAACAAUACCUGUGGCUCUCUGAAGGAAGGGUGCUCCAGGAAGAGGGAACAGCAAGUGCAAAGGCCUGGAGGAAAAAGGAUGCUCUUCUUGUUGCCAGGACAGCAAGAAAACCAAGGAAAUUAGAAUAGAAUGAGGGAGAAUAGUGGCAAGAAAUGGAAUCAGAAACACAAAUAGCAGCCAAUUCACUUGAGGACUGGUGGGUCAUGAAAAGGGCUUUGGCUUAUAUUCUGAGUGAAACAGAGACCCAUUAAUGGUUUUAAGCAGAGG